This 253-nucleotide ribosomal RNA is filed under the name uncultured bacterium. Its description in RNAcentral is "partial 16S ribosomal RNA". It matches the Rfam family "Bacterial small subunit ribosomal RNA", at positions 524 to 776 of the family's 1533-position model. The record is from RNAcentral.
UACAGAGGUCCCAAGCGUUGUUCGGAUUCACUGGGCGUAAAGGGUGCGUAGGUGGCCAGGUAAGUUCGGUGUGAAAGCUCGGAGCUUAACUCCGAAAUGUCAUUGAAUACUAUCUGGCUAGAGGGUCGGAGGGGAGACUGGAAUUCUCGGUGUAGCAGUGAAAUGCGUAGAUAUCGAGAGGAACACCAGUGGCGAAGGCGAGUCUCUGGACGACACCUGACACUGAGGCACGAAAGCUAGGGGAGCAAACAGG